CACACCGCCCGUCAAACCACGAAAGUUGUACGAGCCAGAAGCAGAUGAGUUAACCGCAAGGAGACAGUCUGCCAAGGUUUGUGCGAUGAUUGGGGUU
RNAcentral lists this ribosomal RNA (97 nucleotides) under uncultured bacterium. RNAcentral's name for it is "partial 16S ribosomal RNA". It matches the Rfam family "Bacterial small subunit ribosomal RNA", at positions 1386 to 1482 of the family's 1533-position model. The record is from RNAcentral.